This 73-nucleotide transfer RNA is filed under the name Prototheca wickerhamii. Its description in RNAcentral is "tRNA-Arg". It matches the Rfam family "tRNA". Rfam says of the family: Transfer RNA (tRNA) molecules are approximately 80 nucleotides in length. The record is from RNAcentral. Lineage: Eukaryota; Viridiplantae; Chlorophyta; Trebouxiophyceae; Chlorellales; Chlorellaceae.
GCUUGUAACUCAGUGGAUUAAGAGUACGUGCUUCCGAAGCACGCAGGCGUGGGUUCAAUUCCCGCCAAGCUUA